CCAACUUGGCAUAUAAUGCAAACAAAUCUCUUAAAAUACAGAAGGAUCCAAAUAAAUCAAUGUAAUGUUACUUUCUUCUCCCUUCACGAACUCCUAAACUUCCUGUUCAGGUCCUUCAACACUUAAUUAGUGUAAGCUUGCAUUCCACCAAAAGGUGCCAGGAAAUUCAACAAAAAUCCUAAGCUUAAAAAAGGAGACGCUAAAGCAACUCAAGUAC
Telopea speciosissima is the source of this 217-nucleotide long non-coding RNA. RefSeq lists it as uncharacterized. The transcript has 2 exons. NCBI's taxonomy places the organism in Eukaryota, Viridiplantae, Streptophyta, Magnoliopsida, Proteales, Proteaceae. The record is from RefSeq and is a predicted model, not a curated record.